CUGCACACUUGGCAACAUCAUCCACUCUUUGCACUCACAUUUUAUUAUUUUCCUCUGAACGGAAACCAUAAAAAAAAGAAAACAUUGCACACCACCUGUUAGACCUUGCACACUGGAGGGAGUGUGAGUCAGCUGCACACGGGAUAAGAAGAUGGAUAAAGAACCCACCCAGCAAACCGAGACACUUGGGGUGAAGCCUGUGAGGGUUCAGGGCUUUGGCCUUAGAGGUUGUCAAAUGGGUGCAAAUAAAGUGUGAACCAAUGGGACUUUCAGCUAUGGAGCACAAGUCAGUGUGAUUUGGUGGGACUGGGGGGGCGGGAUUGAAUUUGUGAUUUCAUUGGUCCUGCUUAGUUACGCCCACUUAGUGCAGCAGGUUGCCAGUGAGGAGGGGCUGGUUUUCAGGAAGUCGUAGAUCUCCAGGAGGUUUAGGUGGCCUUUUCACGUGCUGAAGUCGUCCUCCUACCUAUGCUGGUGUCCUGUCCGAAGAUGAGCGACGACAUGAGGUUUCCCCACACGGCAGACGACUGAAAGAUGAAGAAGAAGAUGCCAAAGUACUGGUUGAUGACAUCCGAGCCCUUUUUGCCGUCCUUAUCAGCCUGCACGUUUCCGGAGAUGGUCAGAAAACACGCGUGGACGUCGCAGCUUGAUAAGCAACCCGCCCAUCCAAAAACCAGAUCUGACCACCUCGUAGUGGACUCAUAUCAGCAACAAAACGCAACGUACAAACUGACUCAGCAGUUCAUGUGCUAAAUAUGGAUUAAGGGAGACAGAGUCCACAAAUAAAGCCUCAAACGUCCAGCCACACUGUAAGUGCAACACUUCACAUGCAUGCUGUCAGUGGCAGGUGAAUAAAAAGCUCAGUUGUUGGCCGCAGAAUCACAGAUUUCUCUGGGUUGGAAAACUGCUGGAAGCAUUUAGGAUAAGAACACAACACAAGCAAUAAAAAACAAAGGUUUAGUUGUUUUUAUCCAUUUUAAUAUGGAAAUAUUACAUCUUAUAUCUUUAGCCUUCAGCCUAGAGGAGACUUC
This is a long non-coding RNA of Scatophagus argus, 1028 nucleotides long. RefSeq lists it as uncharacterized. NCBI's taxonomy places the organism in Eukaryota, Metazoa, Chordata, Actinopteri, Scatophagidae. The record is from RefSeq and is a predicted model, not a curated record. The transcript is spliced from 5 exons.